This is a long non-coding RNA of Ostrea edulis (European flat oyster), 1295 nucleotides long. RefSeq lists it as uncharacterized. The transcript has 3 exons. The record is from RefSeq and is a predicted model, not a curated record. Lineage: Eukaryota; Metazoa; Mollusca; Bivalvia; Ostreida; Ostreidae.
CGCCCCUUAUAAAAACCUUCGAUUUAUGGCGGAGAAGCAAUACGCACGUUUGAGGCCUUAUAUCGCUGUAUUCUCAUAAAUUUGAUAUUUGAAAAUUUCAAACAUAUUUUCGAACUAUACAUGUUACCAAAUAUAUCUGUAAAUAUUCAUUAAUCAAUAGCAAUGAACUGGUUACCCAACAUGGCUAUUAGAAGUAUAAUUAACAUCACAUACAAGUAAUACAGAAUUGUAGCUUAUUGGGAAAGAUUCCACCCCUGGCAGAAACCAAACAUGGUUAUAUCAACAAACGCAAUCAUUUGAAGCUGUGAGUUUUCGGGCCGCAUGGGGCGGGGCAGCCCCUUUCAUGAAUAUUUUGAGGUGAUGUUUGUACACAGGAAAAUAUGUUGGGAAUUUUUUGACAUUUUUAUGAGAAGGAGAUGCAAGAAUACAACGAUAAAAAGCCUCAGCCGUGCGGGUUUUUUUCUGCGCCAUAAAUCAAAGGUUUUUAUAAGGGAUGAAUCACCUUUUGGAGCCACAUAUUGAAAUUCAGUGGCGUACAUUGUAAAGCUGAAUGUAUUGUAUGAGACGAGAAGCGACUGUAUAUGUUAAGUAGAUCACCAAUCUCUUUCACUACCCCUGUAUCUAUGACUUGUUAGAAAAAUUUAAUCAGAUAGAUUAAGUUUUUUUCAUUUUGGCUUAUAACACGAUAUUGAUAAUUCUAAGGAGGGAAAUGGAAUCGGUAUCUUUUAUAUAGUUUAUUUUACAGAUCGGUGCGUUAACUACCUCACACAGAAUGUGGACACGAUAAGUGAGGUGGGGAAACUCUGCACAUGUCGCUGCAGAUCGGUAGCUCUUGUGGAGGUGUUUGUCUGAAAUUAUGUAAACUUUGAGCUGCACGACCAAGUAGUUUGGAAGGGAUCUUAAUGAUUGGUGAUGCGUUGAUGUCCACUGUGACGUGUUGGAUGAAGGGAACCUGAAACACAUUGCUGUCUGACGCGUUUCAUACCUAUUGUUAGACCGUUCUUCACACACUGAUUUGGGGUACGGAUUACUCCGUUUAUCUUAUCAAAAUAUACGGCUCACGACGGAUGUGACCGGACGACUGGAGAUGCUUACUACCAGGCACCUGAUUCCACCUCUGGUGUGCUUUUAAUUUUGUAUUCUUUACAGGAAUCACGAGAUCAAUCACUGUUCGUUAUCUUCACUUCGUUCAGGGAAACAAUAUUAUCAGAUUUUUCAUGUACUUGAGACAGUAUUAUUUAUAUUGUGUGCUGAAUUUGUCUUUUCGAGAAUAAAUGAAUUGUUAUUGCAUUAUC